This 577-nucleotide ribosomal RNA is filed under the name uncultured Caldimonas sp. Its description in RNAcentral is "bacterial SSU rRNA". It matches the Rfam family "Bacterial small subunit ribosomal RNA", at positions 97 to 670 of the family's 1533-position model. The record is from RNAcentral. Lineage: Bacteria; Pseudomonadati; Pseudomonadota; Betaproteobacteria; Burkholderiales; Sphaerotilaceae.
GGCGAACGGGUGAGUAAUACAUCGGAACGUGCCCGGUAGUGGGGGAUAGCCCGGCGAAAGCCGGAUUAAUACCGCAUACGACCUACGGGUGAAAGCGGGGGACCGCAAGGCCUCGCGCUAUCGGAGCGGCCGACGUCGGAUUAGCUUGUUGGUGGGGUAAAGGCCUACCAAGGCGACGAUCCGUAGCUGGUCUGAGAGGACGACCAGCCACACUGGGACUGAGACACGGCCCAGACUCCUACGGGAGGCAGCAGUGGGGAAUUUUGGACAAUGGGCGCAAGCCUGAUCCAGCCAUGCCGCGUGCGGGAAGAAGGCCUUCGGGUUGUAAACCGCUUUUGUCAGGGAAGAAACGCUUCGGGCUAAUACCUCGGAGUAAUGACGGUACCUGAAGAAUAAGCACCGGCUAACUACGUGCCAGCAGCCGCGGUAAUACGUAGGGUGCGAGCGUUAAUCGGAAUUACUGGGCGUAAAGCGUGCGCAGGCGGUUGUGCAAGACAGAUGUGAAAUCCCCGGGCUUAACCUGGGAACUGCAUUUGUGACUGUGCGACUGGAGUGCGGCAGAGGGGGAUAGAAUUCC